RNAcentral lists this transfer RNA (76 nucleotides) under Candidatus Levybacteria bacterium CG10_big_fil_rev_8_21_14_0_10_36_7. RNAcentral's name for it is "tRNA-Gly". It matches the Rfam family "tRNA". From Rfam's summary of the family: Transfer RNA (tRNA) molecules are approximately 80 nucleotides in length. Their secondary structure includes four short double-helical elements and three loops (D, anti-codon, and T loops). The record is from RNAcentral. Lineage: Bacteria; Candidatus Levyibacteriota.
GCAGGUGUCGUAUAAUGGUUCAUUACCCCAGCCUUCCAAGCUGGUGACGCCGGUUCGAUUCCGGUCACCUGCUCCA